Molecule: ribosomal RNA, 253 nt
Filed under: uncultured bacterium
Lineage: Bacteria
Description: partial 16S ribosomal RNA
Rfam family: Bacterial small subunit ribosomal RNA
Source: RNAcentral
UACGUAGGGAGCAAGCGUUGUCCGGAAUCAUUGGGCGUAAAGCGCGCGUAGGUGGCCCCGUAAGUCCGCUGUGAAAGUCAAAGGCUCAACCUUUGAAAGCCGGUGGAUACUGCGGGACUAGAGUACGGAAGAGGCGAGUGGAAUUCCUGGUGUAGCGGUGGAAUGCGCAGAUAUCAGGAGGAACACCAAUAGCGAAGGCAGCUCGCUGGGACGUUACUGACACUGAGGCGCGAAAGCGUGGGGAGCGAACAGG